This 609-nucleotide ribosomal RNA is filed under the name uncultured fungus. RNAcentral describes it as "eukaryotic LSU rRNA". The stretch from base 190 to 344 matches the Rfam family "5.8S ribosomal RNA". Lineage: Eukaryota; Fungi. The record is from RNAcentral.
GGAGGUAGAAGAGACUGUCGCCAGCUUGCGCUUGUGCACGUCCCCCUCGCCUUCGACUGUCCGAGAUAUAUAUUAACAUACACCCGUGCACCUUUUGUAGAUCCCCCCUUCGAGAGAGGUGGUGGCGAUCUAUGUUUUCAUCAUAUCACACACAUCGUAUGGCCAGAAUGUAACAAACAACAAUAAUACAACUUUCAGCAACGGAUCUCUUGGUUCUCGCAUCGAUGAAGAACGCAGCGAAUUGCGAUAAGUAAUGUGAAUUGCAGAUUUCCAGUGAAUCAUCGAAUCUUUGAACGCAUCUUGCGCUCCUUGGUAUUCCGAGGAGCAUGCCUGUUUGAGUGUCAUCUAAUUUAUCAACCAAAUAUUCAUUUAUUUGGCUUGGAGUUGGGAGUUGCUGGCAGCCAUGUCAGCUCUCCUCAAAUGUAUUAGCGAUCGAGUUGGCUAGUCUUUGACGUGCACGGCCUUGGACGUGAUAAUGAUCGUCCUGGCUGGAGCGUCUUUCCGAGACUAUUGUACAUAGGUUGCUUCUAAUCAUGAACAUGAAUAUGGAGAUGGAAGGCAAGGAUGGAGAGGGGUCUAGGUCUAGUCUUGUCUGAUAUGGUUGGGUCU